AGAGUUUGAUCCUGGCUCAGGACGAACGCUGGCGGCGUGCUUAACACAUGCAAGUCGAACGAAGAGCGAUGGAAGCUUGCUUCUAUCAAUCUUAGUGGCGAACGGGUGAGUAACGCGUAAUCAACCUGCCCUUCAGAGGGGGACAACAGUUGGAAACGACUGCUAAUACCGCAUACGAUCCAAUCUCGGCAUCGGGACUGGAUGAAAGGUGGCCUCUAUUUAUAAGCUAUCACUGAAGGAGGGGAUUGCGUCUGAUUAGCUAGUUGGAGGGGUAACGGCCCACCAAGGCGAUGAUCAGUAGCCGGUCUGAGAGGAUGAACGGCCACAUUGGGACUGAGACACGGCCCAGACUCCUACGGGAGGCAGCAGUGGGGAAUCUUCCGCAAUGGACGAAAGUCUGACGGAGCAACGCCGCGUGAGUGAUGACGGCCUUCGGGUUGUAAAGCUCUGUUAAUCGGGACGAAUGGUUCUUGUGCGAAUAGUGCGAGGAUUUGACGGUACCGGAAUAGAAAGCCACGGCUAACUACGUGCCAGCAGCCGCGGU
Molecule: ribosomal RNA, 544 nt
Filed under: unidentified oral bacterium RP55-7
Lineage: Bacteria
Description: bacterial SSU rRNA
Rfam family: Bacterial small subunit ribosomal RNA
Source: RNAcentral